Homo sapiens (human) is the source of this 430-nucleotide long non-coding RNA. NCBI's taxonomy places the organism in Eukaryota, Metazoa, Chordata, Mammalia, Primates, Hominidae. The record is from Ensembl.
GUUCAUCCAAUGCUAUCCAGGAGAGAUGUCCCAGUGAGACAAAUGUGCAGUCCUCUCCACAAGUAAAAAGAAGAGAAGCUGCCUUCGGGUGGUGGAGUCUUUAACCCACUUCUCUUCUGCCGAGACUGAAAAGGAUCCAAAUCUCAUGGCAUUAAGGAACAGGAAGCAGGGAAAUUCUGCGCAGAAGAGGGCAGUUCCCUGGGCUUGGCCAGCAGAGAAAGGAGAAGCAGCUGGACAACGAGGACUAUGGUUGGAAGUUGGAGAGAAGCAGCUUGACUUCAGAGGGACAGCUUGAUGGCAUAGCUUCAGAGAGGAGUCUGACUGGGGAUAGCCAGACUUCAGGGGAAGAUUACCUUCCUGCUCCAUCCCCUCUUUGGCUCCCCUUCCUGCUGAGAGCCACGUUCAUUGGCAAUAAAGUCCCCUGCAUUUA